ACCUGUAGUGGAUGACACUUGAUGUUGGACUUCUAAUCCAAAGAUCGUGGGUUCGAAUCCCACCUGGGAUG
Non-coding RNA from Trichonephila inaurata madagascariensis, 71 nucleotides. The record is from the annotation of a GenBank genome assembly. NCBI's taxonomy places the organism in Eukaryota, Metazoa, Arthropoda, Arachnida, Araneae, Nephilidae.